Molecule: long non-coding RNA, 1604 nt
Filed under: Sus scrofa (pig)
Lineage: Eukaryota; Metazoa; Chordata; Mammalia; Artiodactyla; Suidae
Description: lncRNA (ENSSSCG00035067128.1)
Source: RNAcentral
GGGAGGAGCUGGGGCAAAGCUGAAGGGGAUGGCUCUGAGGCCCUGGGAGCCCAGGCCAGAUGGGCUCAGCCAGCUCCUUGGUGGAGGCCAGGCAGUGCCCUUUUGAGCCCCUGACCUAGGCCAGGCCGCGGCGGGAGGCAGGGAGCGGGCAGGGCCUCUGGGCCGAGUCCUGCACCUUGGGGCGACCGCCCAGGCCCGCUCCCCUCCUCCAAGCCACCCUGGGACUGGUGGCUGAGUCCCUGGGGGCAGUCUUUGUGGGAUGUUUUCUGCAGGUGAGAGGAAGGAUCCCCGCCGGGUGUCUUGCUGCCUCUGGCACCUGACCUGUUCCAGACAAAGCCACCUUCCGCUCAGAAGUCUUUUCCUGUCCUCUCCCAGGCAUAGCUGCGGCAUCCCCUGCUCCGCCUGGCCCGAGUGUCAGGCCCUCGUGUCUGUGAGUUCUGGUGGCACUCUGUACCUGCCCGCCCCGUCCUCCCCAGGGCUCGUCCUCCCCAGGGCUCUUCCUCCCGGGCGGGUGGCUGCUGUCCCGGAGACCGUGGCCCCUGCAGGGGCGCAGAGUCCCUUGAAGGCAAGGACAGAGUCUCCUCGGCUCUGUAAGCCCGGUGCCCGGUGGUUGCUCUGGAAAAGUGGCCUCGGCAGAGGCCUGCUCUCUCUCCCAGGGGGCUGCGCGUCCUCUCUCCUUCCAGAAGCCCGAGGACACAGGACUGCUGGCCAUGAGGUCACCAGCAGAACUCACGGUGCCCGCCGCCCUUCUAAGCACUGGCCUUUGGGCCCCUUCUAGUCCCCAGCGACUGGGAUCCAUCCAGCGCCCGGCUCCAGCUGCCCCCUGGGAACUGGCCAUGCCCACGCCUGGGUGCUCCCCUCCCUGGCUCUGCCAGCCCACCCAGUUUGGCCCUGGCCAUCGUCCUGCCCCUCCCUCCUGCUCCAGGGAUUCCUCCCCGGGCCGCUCUUCUCUGCGCCUGGCGCCCGCCCUGCUCUCCUCCUUUGCAGAGAGCCUGGGGUGGCAUCUUUGAGGCCCAGAGAGGGUCCCAGUGCGCAGCUGCCGCGUGUUCUGGGGCCCCCCGGGCUGGGAUCGGCUUGACCCCGUUUCCCGGUUGCCCGGGAGUCCUUGCCAGGGCCGCUUUCCUCUGGGAGAGGCCUUUGGCCCGUCGUUCUACUGAGCUGCUUGUCAUCUUUGUGCCGAGUCGUGGGAGCUCUUCCUGGGGUCUGGGUGGGAAUGCGGCCUGGGGCCUUGUGUUCCAGCCGCUUCCUCCUGCCCCUCGCGGGCCGGUUUCCUCCUCUCUUUGCAGGCCGCUUUGGACGCGGGGUUCGCCUAGACGCUCUGAAUUGGAAGCGCCCCAGAGGUCGGGGAGUGUCCUACCCGCUGCGGGCCCCUGGGCCACUCCCAACCCGCGACGUGGGGCGGCGGCCCCCGAGGAGGAGGUGGCCUUGGGUCCAGCUCUGGGGCCUUGAGGAAGGGCCCCUUCUGGUCUGUGUAAGUGACUGGGGCGCCGCCCGGCUUGCGUUGCGCAUUGACCCCCCCGCAGGACCGACCCCGGGCGGCCGCGCAGCCUUGUGUCCUCUGCCCCAGCUCUCCCUGCUCGCCUGCCCGGAUCUGGGCCGUGGCC